GAACAAUAUUACAUACUCUACAUUAUUCCUUAGUAAUUGAUAUCCAACUGUGAUUUUUUUUUUCUAAAUCAUUUAAUCAUCUAUGACCAAGAUGAACCUAGCGAUGAGCUUAAAUUAAACGAUUCGUUCGGCCUAAAUCCUUCUGCUUCCGAGUUUGUCCCAAACACUCCAUCACCACCACACUUGCCACCUUCUCGCUUGACGCCUGGAACUCAUACUAGAUCCUUGCUCACCCCUCUGGAUUCCGUAUGGAGGAACUCCACCAGGUCACCUAGUCCUCAAUCGAAUAAGAAACUAAUCAAAUUUAUGAAAAACGUGCACUUCCCUAAGGAUUUCUUAAACAAAUGCUUAAAAGUUUUGCCCCCCGACGUGUCUUUGGCGGAUGUGAAGUACCAGCCAGAAAAUUUCCAAGAAAAAUGGUUCGACUAUUUGAAGCAAAGGGAAUCAGAAGCAGCAGAAGAAUGUAAGGCUGCAAUUGACGAAGGACCUGGGAGUUUCAUCGAAGAUAGAUGCUUUAUCGAAUCUGAACGAGUGAUACAUUUUUCCCGUUUCGAAAAAUGAGUUUCCUUCAAGCAUGAAUCAAGGAGAAUUAGACGGGACAGAGAAAUGCAAAGUUCGAUUGGUGAUCAUUCACAAAUAAAACUGUAGAGCCAAAAUAUAAACUAGCUCUUAUUUCUAUAACUUGUAACUAUGUUUCCUUCAUCGCUUAUUUUUGUAUCAAAUUUAGACUUUUGAAUGGACACAAUGCUCCCUUUAUUAAAAAUAUUAAAUAAAUAUUAUAAUACAUUUUUUUUUAUUCAAAACAAUUAUAUAAUAUCACAAUAAAGUUAACAUUUACCAUAUGAGACUAACAUUAAAAAAUAUUACAUUUUUAUACACCUGAUUAUAAAAUAAAUAUAUGUACCUUCAGAAAACACAAACCUAUAAUACUGCUUUCUUAUUUUAUGAGAUACAUACACAUUUGAGAUUAUUCCAGAAAUAUAUAUAAAUAUAUUUCACGAUAUAUUGUGAGACAUGCAUUACACAUAUACGACAAAAACUAUUAGUUUUAUUUUUGCCAUAAAUCAUUUUCAAGAGGGAGAAGAUUUUACAUUCAUAUAAAGUAACUAAAAUAUACAUAUGUGCAAAUAAAUUUAUGGAGGAUACAAGCAAAAUUCUCACAUAAAUUUGACAGCACUCUAUUUCAGACUAGUAGUUAGUUAUUUUAUGUUGUCGAUUGUUAACCCAAACGAAUCCAGUCUUACGAUUAAAAAAAUAUGGUAGAAAA
This is a long non-coding RNA of Anoplophora glabripennis (Asian longhorned beetle), 1267 nucleotides long. RefSeq lists it as uncharacterized. The transcript has 2 exons. NCBI's taxonomy places the organism in Eukaryota, Metazoa, Arthropoda, Insecta, Coleoptera, Cerambycidae. The record is from RefSeq and is a predicted model, not a curated record.